GUCAGGAACCCCCUAGCGAAAGCUAGAGGCUUACGCAAGUAAGCCUGGACUUGACCAGACUCAGCCCUGGGCUUUCUCCCUUGUGGAGAAGGUCAUCGAGCUACGAUAGAUGAGAAGUGUUUGUGUUCCUACCUACAGGUGCGUGCCAGCCUGUAGCUCUAGAAUCCCUGGGUUAAACAGGUGUACGAGGUGAAGCCAGUGCUCAGGGAAAAGUACCGCUCUCUAUCUUUGUCGAGGCAACCAUUAC
Molecule: non-coding RNA, 247 nt
Organism: Ktedonobacter racemifer DSM 44963
Lineage: Bacteria; Bacillati; Chloroflexota; Ktedonobacteria; Ktedonobacterales; Ktedonobacteraceae
Rfam family: HNH endonuclease-associated RNA and ORF (HEARO) RNA
Source: Rfam